ACCAGUGUGUCCAGUCAGGGUGUCUGUGUUGACCCCUCUCUCUCACUCAGGUGGAGACAGUCAUAGACCCUCAGUACAUGUUGUCUGGUGCCUGUCUGGACGAAAGAGCUGUCUCUCCCUCACUUCAGGAGCCAUACAUAGCAGAUAGGAGUGUGACUGAGGAAGGCCCACAUGGGUGCUGUGCUCCCCCUAGUGUCUGCUCAGGUAUUGCACCUCUGAGCUUGGACUUCUGCUCCCAGGAGGCCCCUCCAGACUCCCCGGACAGCUGCGGGCCCCAUCGUGCAGUUCCCAGCUUCCUGCUGCCCACCCCUCCUCAGACAGUUCUCCAGGGGGAACUUCCUGCCCUGCGGGACAAUCUGAGCUCCCAGAAGACACACCCCUGUUUUCAGGCCACGCCCAGCAGCUCCCUAGAAACCUUCCCUUUGCGUGAGAACUACAGUAUCCAGCAUGCACCUUGCCCUGCCCAGUCACAAGCUUCAGCACCACAGGCAGAUGUAUGGCCAAGGACGUCCACUUCCCAGAAGGCCCCCAUCAUGUUUCAGAAGGAAGACCACGUCCCCCCAUCCACAUCUGCAGUCUUGUGGGACACAGACAGGUUCGGAACUGGACUCCACGUCCCACAAGAGGACUGCAGUGCACAGAAUUCCUUCCCAGGGGCGCCUGGACCCCUGUGCGUACAAGACGACUACAGCUCCCAGCAUGCACCUGCGAGUGGCCUGCUGACUUAUGAGACCGCCCACACAGGCGUUUGUCUUCGGCAGCCUGGCUUCACCCCACGUUGUCGUCUGCCCCCUCUGCUGCAGACUUACAGCACCUACCCGGGUGUCUUGGCAGGGAACUACGCCUCCCAUAAUUCCUUCUCAUACAUGCCAGAGAACUACAAUUCCCAGGGUGCACCUCCUGACCGCCUGCAGGUUUCUGUGCCUGGUGACGGCCUCUGCACUGUGGAGGGAAGCUCCGGUUUUGACCAUGAACUCUUCCGUCACUUUGGGAACGGCAGUCCCCACAGCGUCCCUCUCGGCAACCAACACGUCUGCAGACCUCAGGCUGUACGGCUUGUGUUUCAGGGGAGCCACAGUUCAGCUGAAGCUCAGCAGCUGGUCUCGUCAAUGCAUCAGCGCAGCUCCCAGGGUGCACCGGGAUCCCCUCAGCCCCUGGCUGGGCCGGGGGCCUAUGUUUCCCAGCACGACCCAUCCAGCUGCCUGCUGAGCUACAACCCCCACUACAGCCCUGUCAGUCCAGCCCAGGCGCUUCCUUCCAGCGAAAACGCAUGGAUCCUUAUUGAAAAUUACAGCUUCCAGAAUGCAAUUCCUGUGGUCCUGGGGAAAGCCCACCCCCAGCAAGCACCUUUCAGCCAAGAGGCGAUGUCGACCGUCCCACAGACUGCAACAAAUCCCAAAACAAACGGCACGUCACAGGACC
Molecule: long non-coding RNA, 1422 nt
Filed under: Lepisosteus oculatus (spotted gar)
Lineage: Eukaryota; Metazoa; Chordata; Actinopteri; Semionotiformes; Lepisosteidae
Description: lncRNA (ENSLOCG00000022310.1)
Source: RNAcentral